This 253-nucleotide ribosomal RNA is filed under the name uncultured bacterium. RNAcentral's name for it is "partial 16S ribosomal RNA". It matches the Rfam family "Bacterial small subunit ribosomal RNA", at positions 524 to 776 of the family's 1533-position model. The record is from RNAcentral.
UACGAAGGGGGCUAGCGUUGUUCGGAAUCACUGGGCGUAAAGCGCACGUAGGCGGAUCUUUAAGUCAGGGGUGAAAUCCCGGGGCUCAACCCCGGAACUGCCUUUGAUACUGGGUAUCUCGAGUCCGGAAGAGGUGAGUGGAAUUCCGAGUGUAGAGGUGAAAUUCGUAGAUAUUCGGAGGAACACCAGUGGCGAAGGCGGCUCACUGGUCCGGUACUGACGCUGAGGUGCGAAAGCGUGGGGAGCAAACAGG